CUCUAUUUAAACAAAUGGACGUUCGGUAGAUAGCUGGGAUCUCAGCGUACAGUUCGUGAGAAUACCGCUCAGAUCCCAGCAUAACUAACCGAAGGCCACGCGAAACACACAUUAUAUUCAAGUUACAUUCAAAGUACCGCUUGACAUUAGGGAAACAAACUACCGAACGCCCGGGGCUCCCGAACGGCCUGGAAGUCCAGUGGUAUUCGUGCCGUCGAGUAGCCGAUUUUAGUUCCAGGCGCUCGACGACCAAAUACCGCUGAGCUAACAAAGGACCCAAGAUGGCCGACCGCCGUGUGGUCGGUAGCCGAACGACG
Molecule: non-coding RNA, 317 nt
Organism: Pelobates cultripes (western spadefoot toad)
Lineage: Eukaryota; Metazoa; Chordata; Amphibia; Anura; Pelobatidae
Source: the annotation of a GenBank genome assembly